GACGAACGCUGGCGGCGUGCCUAAUACAUGCAAGUAGAACGCACAGUUUAUACCGUAGCUUGCUACACCAUAGACUGUGAGUUGCGAACGGGUGAGUAACGCGUAGGUAACCUGCCUGGUAGCGGGGGAUAACUAUUGGAAACGAUAGCUAAUACCGCAUAAUAUUGAUUAUUGCAUGAUAAUUAAUUGAAAGGUGCAAUUGCACCACUACCAGAUGGACCUGCGUUGUAUUAGCUAGUAGGUGAGGUAACGGCUCACCUAGGCGACGAUACAUAGCCGACCUGAGAGGGUGAUCGGCCACACUGGGACUGAGACACGGCCCAGACUCCUACGGGAGGCAGCAGUAGGGAAUCUUCGGCAAUGGACGAAAGUCUGACCGAGCAACGCCGCGUGAGUGAAGAAGGUUUUCGGAUCGUAAAGCUCGGUUGUAAGAGAAGAACGGGUGUGAGAGUGGAAAGUUCACACUGUGACGGUAUCUUACCAGAAAGGGACGGCUAACUACGUG
Molecule: ribosomal RNA, 505 nt
Filed under: uncultured bacterium
Lineage: Bacteria
Description: partial 16S ribosomal RNA
Rfam family: Bacterial small subunit ribosomal RNA
Source: RNAcentral